This is a long non-coding RNA of Lathyrus oleraceus (garden pea), 1126 nucleotides long. RefSeq lists it as uncharacterized. Lineage: Eukaryota; Viridiplantae; Streptophyta; Magnoliopsida; Fabales; Fabaceae. The transcript has 3 exons. The record is from RefSeq and is a predicted model, not a curated record.
UAAAUUUUGUUAAUAGAGUAAAAAACAGUGCAUAUAGAGCCAAAAAUAUGAUAAGUCUUAUCAGUGGCAUUCUGGAUUGCCUCUUGGAGAAUUCUUCAUCGCAAUUUCGUUCAUCAUCAUCGCAUCACGUUCGUCCUUCACCCGCCACGGUCUUUUGUUCGUCGCGCAUCCUCCAUGGUAUUAUGGUCGUCGCGCAUCCGCCAUGGCAUCGUGUUGUUUCACGAUUUCAUAGCGGCUUCGAGUCAUCCGAAACGCGCUCUGGUUCAUGUUGUAAAUGCGCCGCUUAAUAUCGCGUUUCAACACCGAACUCCAUGGAUUCACACUUCACCGCUUAACAUUAUUGCGCGUGGAUUCAAUUCACUGAUCCAAUGACUUAUCAAGAUUGCCCCACCGCAAAUCCUAAUGGCGUCUAAUAACAACUACCGAUAGAAUCAUGAAGGAAGAAAACUCAUCGGUUCGUCCUGACAGCAAAAACAGUUGAUGGAGAUUGCCGCAGAUCUAUGGAAGAACGAUGCAGAUCGACGCAAAAGAAAAAGCUUCGAUGCAGAAUGCAACAGCUUAUACAGAAAUAUGGAAUUUUCCAGGUUGCUGAAUCGAAGUGCAGAAACGGAAAAACACGACGAGACUGAGAGAGAGUGAUUGAAGAAGAGUGAAACGGAAUGGAGGUUGAACAGAGUGAAAAUCCAACCGAAUGAGGAUUCAAUUGGUUAAAUAGAGGAUCAAUCAUAACUAACUCGGGCAGGCCCUUGGGCAACCAGGUGGAAUGCGACAUUAACGAAAAGCCAAUGGAAUGCACCACAUAGUGAAAAUCCAGCUACUGUAGUAGGCCUAUUAAAUUGUAGUGGAAGUACUUUGGAAUCAAUAUUUCUUAUCAGUUCAAAAUAUGGUGAAUGCAACACUUGCUUAGGCUUGGGAUCAUGGAUCAAACAUGUUUGGAUUGGACUUUAUUGAUUCAAGUUAAGUUGUAGUUUAUGGAAUGUAAUGUAAAUGUUAAUGGAGUUGAAAGGUUUUUUUUUGUAAAUGAAAAUAGAUUGAGGGUUAUUUGUAUGCUAGCAUUGUCUUGUAUGAAUGGUCAUAAUUGAAAUCUUUGAAUUUGAAUAAAUGUGAAUGUGUGAAUUGGUUUGAA